AAAAAAUGUUGCCUUCCAGAAUGAUUAUACCAAUACAGUCUUCUCAAAAACACAUGAGAAUGUUUCUUCUCCACCAUUAGUAACACUGUGUUUUGCCAAAUAUAAGAAAUUUUGCCAAUAUGAUAGUGAAAAGCAGUAUUGUUUUCUCAAUUUGCAUUUGUUUGAUGAGUGUAUACACACACAUAGACACACAUGGAGAGAGAUUCAUAUAUAUUUAGGCUAUAUAUUUUAUAAAUUCAUUAGCUAUUUUUCUAUAAAUUCCCCAUUCAUAUCCUCCACAGAUUUUUCUCUUGGGUCAUUUAUCUUGUCCUUAUUGAUUUGUCUUUACAUAUCAGGAAAAUAGACCCUUUUCUCAUACAUGUUCUUUUUUUUUUAAGUAUGCUUUUCCUUUUCUUUUGGUGAGCAAGAGUGGCCCUAAGCUAACACCUGUUACCAAUCUUCCUGUAUUUUUUUUCUCCCCAAAGCCCCAGUACGUAAUUGUAUAUCCUAGUUCCAAGUCAUUCUAGUUCUUCUAUGUGGGAUGCUACCGCAGCAUGGCCUGGUGAGCAGUGUGUAGGUCCACACCCAGGAUCCGAACCAGCAAACCCCAGGCUGCCAAAGAUGAGCACAUGAACUUAACCUCUCGGCCACAGGGCCCGCACCCAUACAUGUUCUGAAUAUAUUUUUCCAAGUUUGUUGUUCACCCUUCAGCAUUGCUUUGUUUCUUUAUCAUUUUUUUAAGUAUAACAUUUCAAGUGUACAGAAAGCAGGAGAGAAUUAUAUAAUAGCACCUAUAUGUCCACCAUCCAGUUUUAAAAUGUUACCGUAAUUUUGCAAUAUUUGCUUCAGCUUUGUCUUUUAAAGAAUAAAAUGUUACAGGUACAGUUGAAGCUUCUUUCCACUCUCACUGAUGCCGUUCUUCUCCAUGUCUCCCCACAGGUGACCACCACCUCAAAGAAGAAAAAAAGACAGCAAUAAUGAAUUGUCUGUGGACAGUUGUUCUCAAGUAAGCCUUCCCGGGAUCUGCAAGCAUCUUUCCAAGAGAGACCAGGUUCACAUCGUUGCAACAGUGAGGCUCGCAAAGCUCCCAUGAGAAGCUGUUCACAAACUGUGCCACCUUCUGACUGAUGUUGCUGAUAAAGAACAGAGAAGAAUCUGCCCAUUAAACUUGCCUCAAAGGAGGUCGUUGAGUUGUGAUUGGAUAUAUUAUAUAUUAUACAAUAAUUUAUUUUGACCCUAGGAGAGGUUCAUUUGAAAAAGGCCAUAAUACCUCUUUCUGCCCACUUUGGAGCAGACUUUAGCUGGGGUCAAAGCCCUAACGUCAGCCUCUAUGAAAGGUUGCAAGCAGGUGGGCUGGGGCAUUCCUAUCUGCUCAGGCACAUGACAAAUGAAGACAUUUCCUGAGGAGGGUGAUGGAACCAAUGUGCUCAUGUCUGAACGUUUUUGCAGAAAGAAUUAAAGGACAGUAAAAAAAAACUUCUGAAUACUCUGUAGUCUUUUGAUAUUCUGAAACUUCUACCUCAUUGCUUAUUUUUAAAAGAACCCAAAUUGGGCUUGGCCUAAACAAGGGAGUCACCUGUGAUUUUGACAACACCUUAAACAGUACACUCCCAUGGUUUUAUACUUUUUCAUAGAUCUGUUUCUUUAAAAAUGUAUAUAUAUAAUUUUUUAAAAUUAUAAAGUUUCUAUAAAUUGCACCAGACUGUGCAUAUCAUUCUGCAAUUCAGCAUGGUUAUUCACUAUGACUUCAAAAUUUAUCCAUGUGGAUGCAUAUAGAUUGAGAGUAUUCCUUUUAACCCACGAAUAGCAG
Molecule: long non-coding RNA, 1789 nt
Filed under: Equus caballus (horse)
Lineage: Eukaryota; Metazoa; Chordata; Mammalia; Perissodactyla; Equidae
Description: lncRNA (ENSECAG00000058093.1)
Source: RNAcentral